Molecule: ribosomal RNA, 463 nt
Filed under: uncultured bacterium
Lineage: Bacteria
Description: bacterial SSU rRNA
Rfam family: Bacterial small subunit ribosomal RNA
Source: RNAcentral
UCCAGACUCCUACGGGAGGCAGCAGUGGGGAAUAUUGCACAAUGGGGGGAACCCUGAUGCAGCGACGCCGCGUGGGUGAAGGAGCACCUCGGUGCGUAAAGCCCUAUCGGCAGGGAAGAAAAGCGAACAGGUUCGCCUGGACGGUACCUGACUAAGAAGCCCCGGCUAACUACGUGCCAGCAGCCGCGGGAAUACGUAGGGGGCAAGCGUUAUCCGGAUUUACUGGGUGUAAAGGGAGCGUAGACGGCACUGCAAGUCCGGAGUGAAAGCCCGAGGCUUAACCAUGGGACUGCUCUGGAAACUGUGGAGCUUGAGUGCGGGAGGGGCAGGCGGAAUUCCUAGUGUAGCGGUGAAAUGCGUAGAUAUACGGAGGAACACCAGUGGCGAAGGCGGCCUGCUGGACAUUAACUGGCGCUGAGGCGCGAAAGCGUGGGGAGCAAACAGGAUUAGAUACCCCCGUAGC